Molecule: unclassified non-coding RNA, 176 nt
Filed under: soil metagenome
Description: partial internal transcribed spacer 1
Source: RNAcentral
AAAAACUUCGGCAAGAACGUGGAGCUUGUGCGUGAGACUUGUGUGCUAACUUAGACCACAAGCCCCCUCACGAGCCUGUUUUUACGAACCCUGUGUGAACCGUAAUAUUUAUUCCAUCCACGUAUACGAAAUUUCUAGUCUAAAGUCUUCUUCAUAUCACGAGAAUAUGAUAAAAA